AAUUUCAAAAAAUUAUCAUAUCAUCCCCGAAGGCCUGCAGCGGCGUUGACACAAUGUGAUUUCUGCCCAGUGCUCUGAAUGCCAAAGAAAUUCAAUGAAGCACGGGUAAAUGGGGGGAGUAACUAGGACUCUCUUAAGGUAGCCAAAUGCCUCAUCAUCUAAUUAGUGAUGUGCAUGAAUGGAUGAAGGAGAUU
Molecule: ribosomal RNA, 194 nt
Filed under: Marmota monax (woodchuck)
Lineage: Eukaryota; Metazoa; Chordata; Mammalia; Rodentia; Sciuridae
Description: Eukaryotic large subunit ribosomal RNA
Rfam family: Eukaryotic large subunit ribosomal RNA
Source: Rfam by way of RNAcentral